CAGUCGCCGCGGGAAUACGGAGGGUGCAAGCGUUAAUCGGAAUUACUGGGCGUAAAGCGUGCGUAGGCGGUUCGUUAAGUCUGUUGUGAAAGCCCCGGGCUCAACCUGGGAAUGGCAAUGGAUACUGGCGAGCUAGAGUGUGUCAGAGGAUGGUGGAAUUCCCGGUGUAGCGGUGAAAUGCGUAGAGAUCGGGAGGAACAUCAGUGGCGAAGGCGGCCAUCUGGGACAACACUGACGCUGAGGCACGAAAGCGUGGGGAGCAAACAGGAUUAGAUACCCCCGUAGUCCCUGUCUCUUAUAA
This 301-nucleotide ribosomal RNA is filed under the name uncultured bacterium. RNAcentral describes it as "partial 16S ribosomal RNA". It matches the Rfam family "Bacterial small subunit ribosomal RNA", at positions 509 to 809 of the family's 1533-position model. The record is from RNAcentral.